RNAcentral lists this ribosomal RNA (598 nucleotides) under Pleosporales sp. A103. RNAcentral describes it as "eukaryotic LSU rRNA". The stretch from base 194 to 347 matches the Rfam family "5.8S ribosomal RNA". The record is from RNAcentral. Lineage: Eukaryota; Fungi; Ascomycota; Dothideomycetes; Pleosporales.
CUUUUCGUAAGGGUGACCUGCGGAAGGAUCAUUACAAGAAUGGNUGGCUGGUCGUGCUUGGUCGCGUCCAGUCCCACUCCUUACCUUGCCUACUGCACUGUUUGUUGCUUCCUGGCGGCGGCGUCCCGCCGCCAGGAGGUUUUCAUAAAGUCUUGUAUAAGCAUUGAUCAUUCUGAUAUACACAAAAUCGUACAACUUUCAACAAUGGAUCUCUUGGUUCUGGCAUCGAUGAAGAACGCAGCGAAAUGCGAUAAGUAGUGUGAAUUGCAGAAUUCAGUGAAUCAUCGAAUCUUUGAACGCACAUUGCGCCCCUUGGUAUUCCAUGGGGCAUGCCUGUUCGAGCGUCAUCUGAACCCUCAAGCCCCUCGGUGUUGCCCUGCCUCUGGCGAGGGCUCCGCCUGGUUUGGUGUUGGGCGCCUGUCCCCGCUUCCCGCGCGGACUCGCCCCGAAUGCAUUGGCAGCGGCCUCCCGGCUCCUUGCGCAGCACAGCGCGCAGAGGGGCGCGGCCCGGCUCGCGUCCAGCAAGCAAACCCCCAAGUUUGACCUCGGAUCAGGUAGGGAUACCCGCUGAACUUAAGCAUAUCAAUAAGCGGAGGAA